AUUGAACGCUGGCGGCAUGCUCUACACAUGCAAGUCGAACGGUAACAGGCCGCAAGGUGCUGACGAGUGGCGAACGGGUGAGUAAUGCAUCGGAACGUGCCCAGUCGUGGGGGAUAACUACUCGAAAGAGUAGCUAAUACCGCAUACGAUCUAUGGAUGAAAGCGGGGGACCGUAAGGCCUCGCGCGAUUGGAGCGGCCGAUGUCAGAUUAGGUAGUUGGUGGGGUAAAGGCUCACCAAGCCAACGAUCUGUAGCUGGUCUGAGAGGACGACCAGCCACACUGGGACUGAGACACGGCCCAGACUCCUACGGGAGGCAGCAGGGGGGAAUUUUGGACAAUGGGCGCAAGCCUGAUCCAGCAAUGCCGCGUGCAGGAAGAAGGCUUUCGGGUUGUAAACUGCUUUUGUACGGAACGAAACGGCUCUGGUUAAUACCCGGGGCUAAUGACGGUACCGUAAGAAUAAGCACCGGCUAACUACGUG
This 482-nucleotide ribosomal RNA is filed under the name uncultured bacterium. Its description in RNAcentral is "partial 16S ribosomal RNA". It matches the Rfam family "Bacterial small subunit ribosomal RNA", at positions 30 to 507 of the family's 1533-position model. The record is from RNAcentral.